UGCCUACGGGGGGCAGCAGUGGGGAAUUUUUGGCAAUGGGCGAAAGCCUGACCAAGCAACGCCGCGUGGGUGAUGAAGUAUCUUGGUACGUAAAACCCUUUCGGCAGGGACGAACUUAAUGACGGUACCUGCGGAAGAAGCCCCGGCUAACUCCGUGCCAGCAGCCGCGGUAAUACGGGGGGGGCAAGCGUUGUUCGGAAUUACUGGGCGUAAAGGGCGCGUAGGCGGUCGGAUAAGUCAGCUGUGAAAACCACGGGCUUAACUCGUGGCCUGCAGUUGAAACUGUCUGGCUAGAGUGUGGGAGAGGGAAGUGGAAUUCCUGGUGUAGCGGUGAAAUGCGUAGAUAUCAGGAGGAACACCGGUGGCGAAGGCGGCUUCCUGGACCACAACUGACGCUGAGGCGCGAAAGCUAGGGUAGCAAACAGGAUUAGAUACCCUAGUAGUC
This 445-nucleotide ribosomal RNA is filed under the name uncultured bacterium. RNAcentral describes it as "bacterial SSU rRNA". It matches the Rfam family "Bacterial small subunit ribosomal RNA", at positions 335 to 795 of the family's 1533-position model. The record is from RNAcentral.